AGCGAACGCUGGCGGCAUGCUUAACACAUGCAAGUCGCACGGGCAGCUUCGGCUGUCAGUGGCGGACGGGUGAGUAACGCGUAGGUAUCUAUCCUUGGGUGGGGGACAACCGUGGGAAACUACGGCUAAUACCGCAUGAAACCUGUGGGUCAAAGGCGCAAGUCGCCUGGGGAGGAGCCUGCGUACGAUUAGCUAGUUGGUGGGGUAAAGGCCUACCAAGGCUGUGAUCGUUAGCUGGUCUGAGAGGAUGAUCAGCCACAUUGGGACUGAGACACGG
RNAcentral lists this ribosomal RNA (277 nucleotides) under uncultured bacterium. RNAcentral describes it as "partial 16S ribosomal RNA". It matches the Rfam family "Bacterial small subunit ribosomal RNA", at positions 29 to 329 of the family's 1533-position model. The record is from RNAcentral.